Molecule: non-coding RNA, 203 nt
Organism: Pelobates cultripes (western spadefoot toad)
Lineage: Eukaryota; Metazoa; Chordata; Amphibia; Anura; Pelobatidae
Source: the annotation of a GenBank genome assembly
CGGAUUUAUGUAACUUUGUUGGAUAUUAAAUACCAGUGAUUUCUUCUAAAGACUGCAGAGUGCAUCUCUUUUUCAUUUAUUAUAUAUAAAAGACAAAAAUCAGCACGCCCAGGUAGCUUUCUUAGGAACUUAUUUUACUAAAAAGUGUAACAGUCAACGUUUCAGUUCCAUUCAGGAACUUACAUCAGGACAACCACAUUGAC